AGAGUUUGAUCCUGGCUCAGAACGAACGCUGGCGGCAGGCCUAACACAUGCAAGUCGAACGGAUCCUUCGGGAUUAGUGGCAGACGGGUGAGUAACGCGUGGGAAGCUACCUUGUGGUAGGGAACAACAGUUGGAAACGACUGCUAAUACCCUAUGAGCCCUAUGGGGGAAAGAUUUAUCGCCAUGAGAUGUGCCCGCGUUUGAUUAGCUAGUUGGUAAGGUAAUGGCUUACCAAGGCGACGAUCUAUAGCUGGUCUGAGAGGAUGAUCAGCCACACUGGGACUGAGACACGGCCCAGACUCCUACGGGAGGCGGCAGUGGGGAAUAUUGGACAAUGGGGGCAACCCUGAUCCAGCCACGCCGCGUGUGUGAUGACGGCCUUAGGGUUGUAAAGCACUUUCAGCAGUGAAGAUAAUGACAUUAAUUGCAGAAGAAGCCCCGGCUAACUUCGUGCCAGCCGCCGCGGUAAUACAAGCCGAAUUCC
RNAcentral lists this ribosomal RNA (484 nucleotides) under alpha proteobacterium P498. Its description in RNAcentral is "bacterial SSU rRNA". It matches the Rfam family "Bacterial small subunit ribosomal RNA", at positions 8 to 536 of the family's 1533-position model. The record is from RNAcentral. Lineage: Bacteria; Pseudomonadati; Pseudomonadota; Alphaproteobacteria.